RNAcentral lists this long non-coding RNA (1276 nucleotides) under Heterocephalus glaber (naked mole-rat). RNAcentral's name for it is "lncRNA (ENSHGLG00100037295.1)". The record is from RNAcentral. Lineage: Eukaryota; Metazoa; Chordata; Mammalia; Rodentia; Bathyergidae.
GAAUGAGAACAAUCAUGAGUGGGACUAGGUGAGAUGGAGGGGUUUUUUAUGGCAGUGCUCGGGAAUGGAGCACAGGGCCUUGUGUGCACCAAGUAGUCUACCACUGAGCUACUACAGCAGCCCAUAAGAGCAUUUUUAAGAGGAUCCACCCAGAUGCCUUUCAUUUUGAGGUUUGUUUCUCUUCUUCAGCUCAUGAAUUUAAAUGAAUUAAUAAUGGUUAAUAUGAACAGUAGCAACUUUUCAUUCUUUUGUGAACUAAGACAUCAUUCUAUUCUUUCUGGUAAUAAAAUUUUUCUUCAGUAAGCAUAAGUGUAUCUCAGGAGAAGCUGGAAUUCACAGGUGGGGAGUCCAACUAAUGCAGCCAAACAGACUGUUGAAUUCUAGCACACUGAAGGAGGAAUUUUCUCCCGGUUGGUUAUACAACAUUUGUAUCAAAAGAAUAUGGCUGGCUAUUUUGUCAGUCUUUUUUUUUUCAAAUGGGCACUAUCGUGUAACUUAUCACAGUUAGUGAUAUGUGAAUUCUCAAAGUCUUCUCAAAAUUAAAAUUUAUUUCCAAAUUAUUUCCCCAAACAAAAAGUUGUUUCAAAAGGAAGAUUGUUGACAUUCUAUUUUUAAUUGCUCUCACACUCCAUUAGAAGGGGUGGUACAGCUGAAAAUAAGGUUGCCUCCAGGCAGAAUGGUGGCAAGGGCUUUAUCUUUAGCUGUGGGAGACCCCUGUCUCCUCCUUUUUUAGCUCUGACAUUUAAUUACCUCUUGUUAUUCGAUGGCUGCGCAAUGUGACCUUUCUAUCCCUUAUCUUCUAAAAUGUACUUUUCUUCUGAGCUUUAAUAUUUCAAAUUCUUUCUUUUUGUCUCCAUGUGGCUUUGAGCCUGAAUCUAACCAGACCAUCGAAUGGAAAUGUGAAGAGUCCACAGCCAGUUUAAUAGUUUAAUCUUCCAGUGUGGGUUUUCUUCUGUGAAAACGCCUCAUAAAAACAUCCAAAAGUGUGCCUCGUGUUUCUGGCCAGGCUCUAAGGAUGUACAGACAUAAAGAUGUAUUUCUCUGCGACCGUUUCUCAGGAAGCUCUCUGCAUGUCCCUCUUCAUCUCAGAAGCCAAUUCCAUGGAACCCGAUCUAAAACAGAUGGAGAUGACAUUCAUGUCGUUUAUAAACACUUAGCCAGAGUAAUCUGGAGGAUGUUUUCAGUAAUAAAUUCAGAGUCACACUUUGAACACGAAAACAAGUAUCUUUUCUUUAUUCCCUCGCCUAUUCUAAACAGAUUCUUCAGUAAUUUGAAC